UGGUAGUCCACGCCGUAAACGAUGAUAACUAGUUGUUCGGUCACUUGGUGACUGAGUGACGCAGCUAACGCAUUAAGUUAUCCGCCUGGGGAGUACGGUCGCAAGAUUAAAACUCAAAGGAAUUGACGGGGGCCUGCACAAGCGGUGGAGCAUGUGGCUUAAUUCGAAGCAACGCGCAGAACCUUACCAGCGUUUGACAUCCCGCGCUACCCAGAGAGAUUUGGGGUUCCCUUCGGGGACGCGGUGAUAGGUGCUGCAUGGCUGUCGUCAGCUCGUGUCGUGAGAUGUUGGGUUAAGUCCCGCAACGAGCACAACCCUCGUCCUUAGUUGCCAUCAUUCAGUUGGGCACUCUAAGGAAACCGCCGGUGAUAAGCCGGAGGAAGGUGGGGAUGACGUCAAGUCCUCAUGGCCCUUACACGCUGGGCUACACACGUGCUACAAUGGCGGUGACAGUGGGCAGCAAACUCGCGAGGGUGAGCUAAUCUCCAAAAGCCGUCUCAGUUCGGAUUGUUCUCUGCAACUCGAGAGCAUGAAGGCGGAAUCGCUAGUAAUCGCGGAUCAGCAUGCCGCGGUGAAUACGUUCCCAGGCCUUGUACACACCGCCCGUCACACCAUGGGAGUUGGUUUCACCCGAAGGCAGUGCGCUAACCGCAAGGAGGCAGCUGACCACGGUGGGAUCAGCGACUGGGGUGAAGUCGUAA
RNAcentral lists this ribosomal RNA (701 nucleotides) under uncultured bacterium. RNAcentral describes it as "bacterial SSU rRNA". It matches the Rfam family "Bacterial small subunit ribosomal RNA", at positions 788 to 1491 of the family's 1533-position model. The record is from RNAcentral.